Molecule: ribosomal RNA, 497 nt
Filed under: uncultured bacterium
Lineage: Bacteria
Description: partial 16S ribosomal RNA
Rfam family: Bacterial small subunit ribosomal RNA
Source: RNAcentral
ACUCAAAUGAAUUGACGGGGGCCCGCACAAGCAGCGGAGCAUGUGGUUUAAUUCGACGCAACGCGAAGAACCUUACCUGGGCUUGACAUGUGCCUGACCGCCGUGGAAACACGGUUUCUCUUCGGAGCAGGUUCACAGGUGGUGCAUGGCUGUCGUCAGCUCGUGUCGUGAGAUGUUGGGUUAAGUCCCGCAACGAGCGCAACCCCCGUCGCAUGUUGCCAGCAUUUAGUUGGGGACUCAUGCGAGACUGCCGGUGACAAACCGGAGGAAGGUGGGGAUGACGUCAAGUCAUCAUGCCCCUUAUGUUCAGGGCUACACACGUGCUACAUUGGCGCAUACAGAGGGCUGCGAUACCGCGAGGUGGAGCGAAUCCCUCAAAGUGCGUCUCGGUUCGGAUUGCAGGCUGAAACCCGCCUGCAUGAAGGUGGAGUUGCUAGUAAUCGCGGAUCAGCAUUGCCGCGGUGAAUACGUUCCCGGGCCUUGUACACACCGCCCGU